RNAcentral lists this transfer RNA (73 nucleotides) under Candidatus Woesearchaeota archaeon. Its description in RNAcentral is "tRNA-Val". It matches the Rfam family "tRNA". Rfam says of the family: Transfer RNA (tRNA) molecules are approximately 80 nucleotides in length. Their secondary structure includes four short double-helical elements and three loops (D, anti-codon, and T loops). Lineage: Archaea; Nanobdellati; Candidatus Woesearchaeota. The record is from RNAcentral.
GGGUCCGUGGUCUAGUGGCUAUGACGUCUCCUUGACGUGGAGGAAUUCGGCAGUUCGAAUCUGCCCGGACCCA